RNAcentral lists this ribosomal RNA (496 nucleotides) under uncultured bacterium. RNAcentral describes it as "partial 16S ribosomal RNA". It matches the Rfam family "Bacterial small subunit ribosomal RNA", at positions 28 to 506 of the family's 1533-position model. The record is from RNAcentral.
GAUGAACGCUGGCGGCGUGCCUAAUACAUGCAAGUCGAGCGAACAGACGAGGAGCUUGCUCCUCUGACGUUAGCGGCGGACGGGUGAGUAACACGUGGAUAACCUACCUAUAAGACUGGGAUAACUUCGGGAAACCGGAGCUAAUACCGGAUAAUAUAUUGAACCGCAUGGUUCAAUAGUGAAAGACGGUUUUGCUGUCACUUAUAGAUGGAUCCGCGCCGCAUUAGCUAGUUGGUAAGGUAACGGCUUACCAAGGCAACGAUGCGUAGCCGACCUGAGAGGGUAAUCGGCCACACUGAAACUGAGACACGGUCCAGACUCCUACGGGAGGCAGCAGUAGGAAAUCUUCCGCAAUGGGCGAAAGCCUGACGGAGCAACGCCGCGUGAGUGAUGAAGGUCUUCGGAUCGUAAAACUCUGUUAUUAGGGAAGAACAAAUGUGUAAGUAACUAUGCACGUCUUGACGGUACCUAAUCAGAAAGCCACGGCUAACUACGU